Molecule: ribosomal RNA, 253 nt
Filed under: uncultured bacterium
Lineage: Bacteria
Description: partial 16S ribosomal RNA
Rfam family: Bacterial small subunit ribosomal RNA
Source: RNAcentral
UACAGAGGUCUCAAGCGUUGUUCGGAUUCAUUGGGCGUAAAGGGCGCGUAGGCGGCGGGGUAAGUCGGGUGUGAAAUCUCAGAACUCAACUCUGAAACUGCACUCGAUACUGCUCUGCUUGAGGACUGGAGAGGAGACUGGAAUUCACGGUGUAGCAGUGAAAUGCGUAGAUAUCGUGAGGAAGACCAGUGGCGAAGGCGGGUCUCUGGACAGUUCCUGACGCUGAGGCGCGAAGGCCAGGGGAGCAAACGGG